This 468-nucleotide ribosomal RNA is filed under the name uncultured bacterium. RNAcentral's name for it is "partial 16S ribosomal RNA". It matches the Rfam family "Bacterial small subunit ribosomal RNA", at positions 28 to 507 of the family's 1533-position model. The record is from RNAcentral.
GACGAACGCUUGCUUCUUUCUUAACACAUUCAAUUCGAACGUAAAGGCCCUGCUUUUGUGGGGUGCUCGAGUGGCGAACGGGUGAGUAACACGUGAGUAACCUGCCCUUGACUUUGGGAUAACUUCAGGAAACUGGGGCUAAUACCGGAUAGGAGCUCCUGCUGCAUGGUGGGGGUUGGAAAGUUUCGGCGGUUGGGGAUGGACUCGCGGCUUAUCAGCUUGUUGGUGGGGUAGUGGCUUACCAAGGCUUUGACGGUUAGCCGGCCUGAGAGGGUGACCGGCCACAUUGGGACUGAGAUACGGCCCAGACUCCUACGGGAGGCAGCAGUGGGGAAUAUUGCACAAUGGGCGGAAGCCUGAUGCAGCAACGCCGCGUGCGGGAUGAAGGCAUUCGGGUUGUAAACCGCUUUCGCCUGUGACGAAGCGUGAGUGACGGUAAUGGGUAAAGAAGCAAAGGAUAAAUACGGG